Molecule: ribosomal RNA, 408 nt
Filed under: uncultured soil bacterium
Lineage: Bacteria
Description: bacterial SSU rRNA
Rfam family: Bacterial small subunit ribosomal RNA
Source: RNAcentral
AGAUUGAACGCUAGCGGGAUGCUUUACACAUGCAAGUCGAACGGCAGCGCGGACUUCGGUCUGGCGGCGAGUGGCGAACGGGUGAGUAAUAUAUCGGAACGUGCCCAGUAGCGGGGGAUAACUACGCGAAAGCGUGGCUAAUACCGCAUACGCCCUACGGGGGAAAGGGGGGAUUCUUCGGAACCUCUCACUAUUGGAGCGGCCGAUAUCAGAUUAGCUAGUUGGUGAGGUAAAGGCUCACCAAGGCGACGAUCCUUAGCUGGUCUGAGAGGAUGAUCAGCCACACUGGGACUGAGACACGGCCCAGACUCCUACGGGAGCAGCAGUAGGGAAUAUUGGACAAUGGGCGCAAGCCUGAUCCAGCAAUGCCGCGUGAGUGAUGAAGGCCUUAGGGUUGUAAAGCUCUUU